AACCCUUGUGGCCUCAAUAGUUAGAACACCAGAGGUAUUUCGAUCAGACUAAGCAACAACCAACUGAGCAAUAGUAUGAAUCAACUGAAAAAAUUCUAUAUUAGUCACCUCACCUUAAGGAAGAUUAGUAUAAAUCGGGGGAACUCUAGAACAAUCAGGGAUAGGACCCUGAGAUCGAAUGCAAACUCCAAGUGUAGGGCGUACUCCAUCAACAUCA
Molecule: long non-coding RNA, 217 nt
Filed under: Capsicum annuum
Lineage: Eukaryota; Viridiplantae; Streptophyta; Magnoliopsida; Solanales; Solanaceae
Description: long non-coding RNA (CANN_LNC019220)
Source: RNAcentral